Molecule: ribosomal RNA, 474 nt
Filed under: Notaris acridulus
Lineage: Eukaryota; Metazoa; Arthropoda; Insecta; Coleoptera; Erirhinidae
Description: eukaryotic LSU rRNA
Source: RNAcentral
GAGUUCAAGAGUACGUGAACCGUUUAGGGGUAAACCUGAGAAACCCGAAAGGUCGAAGGGAGAAAUUCAUUCGCGUUUCGCCUGUCGGCGAGAGACGGUCGUGUGACGGGGUCGCGUUCGCGCGUGCCCCGCGCCCUCCGUUUUACGAUCCGGCGGCGAACGCGUGCACUUUUCUCCUGGUAGGACGUCGCGAUCCGUUGAGUGUCGGUCUACGGUUCGCGGUGGAGCCCGUUCGUACGGUUCGCGCCGUUACGUUCGGACCCGCGUUUCCCGGCUGACUCGCUCGACGGUAUACCGAAAGGUUUAAGGCCGCUUUNUAAGCGUUCGACUCGCGGCAAGCGCGCCGGAUGCGUCGGCGAUCGGACCCCGUGCCGAUUCUGACCUCCGGUGACUGUUGGCCGCGAAGUUCUCGGACAGACCUUAAAACCGAUCUGCGNCGCUAUAGCUUUGGGUACUUUCAGGACCCGUCUUGAA